This 497-nucleotide ribosomal RNA is filed under the name uncultured bacterium. Its description in RNAcentral is "partial 16S ribosomal RNA". It matches the Rfam family "Bacterial small subunit ribosomal RNA", at positions 28 to 507 of the family's 1533-position model. The record is from RNAcentral.
GAUGAACGCUGGCGGCGUGCCUAAUACAUGCAAGUAGAACGCUGAAGGAAGGAGCUUGCUCUUUCCGGAUGAGUUGCGAACGGGUGAGUAACGCGUAGGUAACCUGCCUGGUAGCGGGGGAUAACUAUUGGAAACGAUAGCUAAUACCGCAUAACAGUAGAUGUUGCAUGACAACUAUUUGAAAGGGGCAAUUGCUCCACUACCAGAUGGACCUGCGUUGUAUUAGCUAGUUGGUGAGGUAACGGCUCACCAAGGCGACGAUACAUAGCCGACCUGAGAGGGUGAUCGGCCAAACUGGGACUGGGACACGGCCCAGACUCCUACGGGAGGCAGCAGUAGGGAAUCUUCGGCAAUGGACGGAAGUCUGACCGAGCAACGCCGCGUGAGUGAAGAAGGUUUUCGGAUCGUAAAGCUCUGUUGUAAGAGAAGAACGAGUGUGAGAGUGGAAAGUUCACACUGUGACGGUAUCUUACCAGAAAGGGACGGCUAACUACGUG